UACGAAGGGUGCAAGCGUUACUCGGAAUUACUGGGCGUAAAGCGUGCGUAGGUGGGUUGUUAAGUCCGAUGUGAAAGCCCUGGGCUCAACCUGGGAACUGCAUUGGAUCCUGGCAGGCUAGCGUGCGGUAGAGGGUAGCGGAAUUCCCGGUGUAGCAGUGAAAUGCGUAGAUAUCGGGAGGAACAUCCGUGGCGAAGGCGGCUACCUGGACCAGCACUGACACUUAGACACGAAAGCGUGGGGAGCAAACAGG
Molecule: unclassified non-coding RNA, 253 nt
Filed under: uncultured Lysobacteraceae bacterium
Lineage: Bacteria; Pseudomonadati; Pseudomonadota; Gammaproteobacteria; Lysobacterales; Lysobacteraceae
Description: uncultured Xanthomonadaceae bacterium contains 16S-23S intergenic spacer region
Rfam family: Bacterial small subunit ribosomal RNA
Source: RNAcentral